AACAGGGCGACAGGCAGACCUGGAGUCUGGACGCACUUCACACACAUUUCUGCCAAAAACUCCACAGGAAAAAAAACCACAGUGACGGGCCUGAAGAUGUUUCAGCAGGACAGGACAGGUUUUAAAGUAUCUGCUCUGUAUUUCCUGCUGCUGAUACUGAUGCAGCGUUACAUCACAACAUAUUGAUCUAACACGUAGUUAAGAUCAGCCAAGUGUGAGGAAACAUUCCCAUCAGCUUUGUUAUGAGUCUCAGUACGAGGAGGAGACAUUAUAACAUGACAGGAGAUGAAUGCAACAAACUACAGACAGAAUUAAACUGCAGAGCCGCUGCUGCUGGACUUAAAUGUAAAAUACAACUUUAACAGUCGAGCAAACAAUUUCCCCCCGGGGAUUAAUAAAGUAUUCUGAAUCUGAAUCUGAAUCUGAAUCUAACGUUAGUGUCACCGACUGUUCUGUUUGUGUGUCCCUCUUGAGUUGCCGUAGGGCAGAGAAAGUUUGGGGACUUGUGCUUGUGUGAGAGUUUUGGUGUGAAGAAAACUGAACGGGCAGCGUUCACUGUUGGAGCUGUUACACCGUCUGCUGAAUCCAGGACGCUCGGCUACAUCAGUUAUAUUAACGAGACCCAGAGUCUACAGCCACGCUGACAUGUUGGCAUUCAUCAAGUUGUCAUGCUAUCAUUUGCUCAUUAGCACUGAGCAGUGUGCAGCUACUUUAGGGAUGAUCUGCUGAUUUCAACCAGCUGUUCAUCAGAGCAGUGUGGCACGUCUGUGAAAAUGAACUGUGGUAAAGUUUCCUCCAUCUGACCAGCGCUCACAUCUCUCUGCUCCUCUGCCAGAACAAAUCUGCAGCUCUCAAACUACAGAUUGUGUUGACUCAUCUCUGUUUGCCCGCCACCACGGACACAAAGAGUAUAGGAGCAGAUCCAGAAACAGACCCGCCCCUCUAUCUCACACUCAGAGCAAAUAGUAAAUUUUAAACACACAAAUUAUUGAUUUUAGUACAAAUUAAACUUUUGAUAAGAGUCAUAACUGAGAGCUUUUUCAGUCCUCUACAUACAAUUUGCUGCAAUAAAAAUGACUGAAGUCAAACUGAGAGACUGAAAACUUUUUAUCUUAUUAAAUAAAACAGAUGAUGAUUUUUGAAGAAGUUUUGGGAAAAAAUGUACAACCGAAAAAUCUAAUAAAUCACAAUAUAUCGCAGUCAGUGUUAUCGCAAUACUCAGCAUAUUGCAACACUGCACUUGUGAUUCACAUCCCUAACUCUCACAGAACAGUUCAAUGACAGUACACAGCAGUUGUGUAAUUAACGUAAAGUUACUGUGGUUAAGUUUAAGAAUAGAAACAUGAGGACGGGUCUUAAAAUGACUCAGAGUUCACACAGAUCCAAACACGUGACUCGGCCCACCAGCCCAACCUGCCUCCUCACAAGCGCUCGGACUGUUUCCUGUUUACUGCUUUUGUUUCCUCACUGUAGCCAGUAUCUCACUGUCACUAUCCUCACUCAGAUUUUAAGAAGCUACAAAUUAUAUUCAGCCACAAAAUAAGUCUGAAAAUCUUUGGUCUGAACUUCACUUUGCAGUCAGCCAUCCUGGAAUAAUGUGAGACCACCUCCACAUCGUAACAACGUUGUUCUGUGAGUCAGAAACACUAGUUUGUUUGUUUUUAUCAGCUGCUGCAGGAAACUUUAGAUUCUUGUCUUGUUGUGAACCAUGAAAGUUUCCAGAGUUAUAAAAGCUGUCAUAAACUGAUUAUAAGUUGGAUCUGUGUUGCUUUAUAUCAGCUGCUGAUAGAGAGCAGCUAGACGGAGAUGGACUGAUAUGAAAAUGUGACUUUAAGAAGCAGAUGGUUUUUCUUGCUUUACAGGACACAUUACAGGAACAAACCUGAGAGUCUGAAAGCAGCGCUGUGUGUGAGCUGUGUCCUCAGACUACCUGAGAACAAGCGCUGUGUUGUGUGACUCAGUGCUGCUGACCAGCUGCAGAUUGCUUCACCUCCCCGAGAGCCCGACACAUGAAGAUAAGUUACUGAUUUCCAUAUUCCAGGAAAAAAAAGGAGGUCUGGGAGGAACCGCUGUGAAAAACAACAUCCUCAGAGAAAGCAAAGGGAGGACAGCGUUGAGUGUUGAGUGUUUGUCUCCCACAGAUAUCAGACGACAAAUGAAAACACGUCAUCAAACAAGUGACCAGCACGGGAACAAAAGCGAGUCCUAAUUAAGCGAAUGUUCUGAUCUAACGAGCUCGAGUCCUGAGCAGGCACCUGGUGUGUUUUAAAUCAGUGUUUUGGAGGUGUAACCGCAGAGUGACACAGACACACCACCGCACAAGUAUUAAUGCUCACACAGGCUCUGCAUAGAGCUGACACACAGAUAUCAAUCCACCUUAAGGUCCGAACACACACAUGAACAUACUGGACCUAUACAUGCACUAAGUGGAGAGAUGUCAGAGUGGGCUGCCCAUGACAGGCGCUCCGAGCGGUUGGGGGGUUUGGUGCCUUGCUCAGGGCACCUCUCCAGCUACCAGUCCACGCUCCAUAUUUUGGUCCGGACGGGGACUUGAGAAAGGACGAGGAAGAAAGCGAAGAAUCUCAGCAGAGAGCUGCCGUCCUCUCUUCAGCCAAUUUGAGCUCCUGAGCUCUAGGAGGCGCUACAGAGUCUUAACUUAAGAAGUUCUUCAUCCCAGCUGACAUCAGGAUCCUCGACACAGUGGGUGCUGAGUUUUAAAGCACAGACAGAUGAUCAGCUGAUUUCAUGUGUUCAGUGUUUAUUCACAUGCUUCAGUCACCAUGUGCUGCCAGUGUUGGAACUGUACAUUUUAUUCGGUGUACGAAUCCUCACAAAUGUCUGUUUUCCCUGACGUUGUAAAGCCUGCCGUAUGCGCACAGCACUGUUUCGUCUUUCCCUGGAUCCCAUCUUGAAAAGCAUCUUUGGCGCUCUCUGACAUUUUGGCGUGAUGUUCCUCGGCUGCAGAUUCAGAGUCAGAGUCACA
Molecule: long non-coding RNA, 2983 nt
Organism: Epinephelus moara (kelp grouper)
Lineage: Eukaryota; Metazoa; Chordata; Actinopteri; Perciformes; Serranidae
Exons: 4
Source: RefSeq, a predicted model, not a curated record